RNAcentral lists this ribosomal RNA (559 nucleotides) under uncultured marine eukaryote. Its description in RNAcentral is "SSU rRNA". It matches the Rfam family "Eukaryotic small subunit ribosomal RNA", at positions 4 to 565 of the family's 1831-position model. The record is from RNAcentral.
CUGGUUGAUCCUGCCAGUAGUCAUACGCUCGUCUCAAAGAUUAAGCCAUGCAUGUCUAAGUAUAAAUACUUUACUUUAAAACUGCGAACGGCUCAUUAUAUCAGUUAUAAUUUAUUUGAUAAUCCCUUACUACUUGGAUACCCGUAGUAAUUCUAGAGCUAAUACAUGCAUCAUAACCCGACUAUUUUGGAAGGGUUGUAUUUAUUAGGUAAAAACCAACUCCUUUCGAGGAUGCUGUGGUGAUUCAUAAUAACUUUGCGAAUCGCAUGGAUCUAUUCCGGCGAUGGAUCAUUCAAGUUUCUGCCCUAUUAACUUCGGACGGUAUGGUAUUGGCUUACCGUGGUCAUAAUGGGUAACGAAUAGUUAGGGCUAGAUUUCGGAGAGGGAGCCUGAGAAACGGCUACCACAUCCAAGGAAGGCAGCAGGCGCGUAAAUUACCCAAUACUGACACAGUGAGGUAGUGACAAUAAAUAACAAUGGUGGGUUUUUACAAAUCUGCCAAUUGGAAUGAGAACAAUUUAAAUCCCUUAUCGAGUAUCAAUUGGAGGGCAAGUCUGGU